This 497-nucleotide ribosomal RNA is filed under the name uncultured bacterium. RNAcentral's name for it is "partial 16S ribosomal RNA". It matches the Rfam family "Bacterial small subunit ribosomal RNA", at positions 28 to 507 of the family's 1533-position model. The record is from RNAcentral.
GAUGAACGCUGGCGGCGUGCCUAAUACAUGCAAGUCGAGCGAACAGACGAGGAUCUUGCUCCUCUGACGUUAGCGGCGGACGGGUGAGUAACACGUGGAUAACCUACCUAUAAGACUGGGAUAACUUCGGGAAACCGGAGCUAAUACCGGAUAAUAUAUUUAACCGCAUGGUUCAAUAGUGAAAGACGGUUUUGCUGUCACUUAUAGAUGGAUCCGCGCCGCAUUAGCUAGUUGGUAAGGUAACGGCUUACCAAGGCAACGAUGCGUAGCCGACCUGAGAGGGUGAUCGGCCACACUGGAACUGAGACACGGUCCAGACGCCUACGGGAGGCAGCAGUAGGGAAUCUUACGCAAUGGGCGAAAGCUUGACGGAGCAACGCCGCGUGAGUGAUGAAGGUCUUCGGAUCGUAAAAAUCUGUUAUUAGGGAAGAACAAAUGUGUAAGUAACUAUGCACGGCGUGACGGUACCUAAUCAGAAAGCCACGGCUAACUACGUG